This 481-nucleotide ribosomal RNA is filed under the name uncultured bacterium. Its description in RNAcentral is "SSU rRNA". It matches the Rfam family "Bacterial small subunit ribosomal RNA", at positions 26 to 518 of the family's 1533-position model. The record is from RNAcentral.
AGGACGAACGCUGGCGGCGUGCUUAACACAUGCAAGUCGAGCGGUGAUCCUCCUUCGGGAGGUGAUCAGCGGCGAACGGGUGAGUAACACGUGGGCAACCUGCCCCUCACACUGGGAUAACCUCGGGAAACCGGGGCUAAUACCGGAUACGACCUCGAGCGGCAUCUCUUGAGGUGGAAAGCUCCGACGGUGAGGGAUGGGCCCGCGGCCUAUCAGCUUGUUGGUGGGGUAAUGGCCUACCAAGGCGACGACGGGUAGCCGGCCUGAGAGGGCGACCGGGCCAACGACCUGGGACUGAGACACGGCCCAGACUCCUACGGGAGGCAGCAGUGGGGAAUAUUGCGCAAUGGGCGAAAGCCUGACGCAGCGACGCCGCGUGAGGGAUGAAGGCCUUCGGGUUGUAAACCUCUUUCAGCAGGGACGAAGCGAAAGUGACGGUACCUGCAGAAGAAGCGCCGGCUAACUACGUGCCAGCAGCCGC